GGAAGCACGUCCUGCUCUGGUGAUGGGCCCGGUCUUCAAAACCGGUGGUGUCGGCGCCUUCGCGUCGCACGGGAGGUUCGAUUCCUCUGUGCUUCC
Molecule: transfer RNA, 96 nt
Filed under: zebrafish metagenome
Description: Selenocysteine transfer RNA
Rfam family: Selenocysteine transfer RNA
Source: RNAcentral